GAUGAACGCUGGCGGCGUGCCUAAUACAUGCAAGUCGAGCGAACAGACGAGGAGCUUGCUCCUCUGACGUUAGCGGCGGACGGGUGAGUAACACGUGGAUAACCUACCUAUAAGACUGGGAUAACUUCGGGAAACCGGAGCUAAUACCGGAUAAUAUAUUGAACCGCAUGGUUCAAUAGUGAAAGACGGUUUUGUUGUCACUUAUAGAUGGAUCCGCGCCGCAUUAGCUAGUUGGUAAGGUAACGGCUUACCAAGGCAACGAUGCGUAGCCGACCUGAGAGGGUGAUCGGCCACACUGGAACUGAGACACGGUCCAGACUCCUACGGGAGGCAGCAGUAGGGAAUCUUCCGCAAUGGGCGAAAGCCUGACGGAGCAACGCCGCGUGAGUGAUGAAGGUCUUCGGAUCGUAAAACUCUGUUAUUAGGGAAGAACAAAUGUGUAAGUAACUAUGCACGUCUUGACGGUACCUAGUCAGAAAGCCACGGCUAACUACGUG
This 497-nucleotide ribosomal RNA is filed under the name uncultured bacterium. Its description in RNAcentral is "partial 16S ribosomal RNA". It matches the Rfam family "Bacterial small subunit ribosomal RNA", at positions 28 to 507 of the family's 1533-position model. The record is from RNAcentral.